AGCGAACGCUGGCGGCAGGCUUAACACAUGCAAGUCGAGCGGGCACUUUCGGGUGUCAGCGGCGGACGGGUGAGUAACGCGUGGGAACGUGCCCUCUGGUUCGGAAUAACUCAGGGAAACUUGAGCUAAUACCGGAUACGCCCUUUUGGGGAAAGGCUUGCUGCCGGAGGAUCGGCCCGCGUCUGAUUAGCUAGUUGGUGAGGUAACGGCUCACCAAGGCGACGAUCAGUAGCUGGGCUGAGAGGAUGAUCAGCCACACUGGGACUGAGACACGGCCCAGACUCCUACGGGAGGCAGCAGUGGGGAAUAUUGGACAAUGGGCGCAAGCCUGAUCCAGCCAUGCCGCGUGAGUGAUGAAGGCCUUAGGGUUGUAAAGCUCUUUUAUCCGGGACGAUAAUGACGGUACCGGAGGAAUAAGCCCCGGCUAACUUCGUG
Molecule: ribosomal RNA, 435 nt
Filed under: uncultured bacterium
Lineage: Bacteria
Description: partial 16S ribosomal RNA
Rfam family: Bacterial small subunit ribosomal RNA
Source: RNAcentral